AGGUGCGAUCAUACCAACACUAAUGCACCGGAUCCCAUCACAACUCCACAUCUAAGCGUGCUUGGACGAAAGUAUUACUACGAUGGGUGACCUCCUGGAAAGCCCUCGUGUUGCACUUC
RNAcentral lists this ribosomal RNA (119 nucleotides) under Phaseolus vulgaris (common bean). Lineage: Eukaryota; Viridiplantae; Streptophyta; Magnoliopsida; Fabales; Fabaceae. The record is from RNAcentral.